UGAGUACGAGAUGCUACGGCAUUGAAGCAGUCUAUGUCAUACUUCUAAGAAAAGCUUGCACUGUCAUAAACAAAGAAUGCCUGUACCAUAACCGACACAGGUGGGUAGGUAGAGUAUACUAAGGGGCGCGAGAUAACUCUCUCUAAGGAACUCGGCAAAAUGACUCCGUAACUUCGGGAGAAGGAGUGCCUUAUUUUUAAGGUUGCAAUAACAAGAUCCAAGCAACUGUUUAUCAAAAACACAGGUCUCCGCUAAGUCGUAAGACGAUGUAUGGGGGCUGACGCCUGCCCAGUGCCAGAAGGUUAAAGAAGUUGGUUAGCAUUCGCGAAGCUGAUAACUGAAGCCCUGGUGAACGGCGGCCGUAACGAUAACGGUCCUAAGGUAGCGAAAUUCCUUGUCGGGUAAGUUCCGACCCGCACGAAAGGCGUAAUGAUUUGGAUACUGUCUCGGAGAGGGACUCGGUGAAAUAGACUUGUCUGUGAAGAUGCGGACUACCUGCACCUGGACAGAAAGACCCUAUGAAGCUUUACUGUAACUUGAAAUUGAAAUUGGACUUUAGUUGCGCAGGAUAGGUGGGAGGCGUUGAGAAUAUUCUUGCGGGAGUAUUGGAGCCAUCAGUGAGAUACCACUCUUCUAAUGUUAGAUUUCUAACUUUGUAUCAUUAUCUGGUCAAAGAACAGUUUCAGGCGGGCAGUUUGACUGGGGCGGUCGCCUCCUAAAGGGUAACGGAGGCGCACAAAGGUUUCCUCUGAACGAGUAGAAAUCGUAUCUAGAGUGUAAAGGCAUAAGGAAGCUUGACUGUGAGACCUACAAGUCGAGCAGGGACGAAAGUCGGUCUUAGUGAUCUGACGGUGCUGAGUGGAAAGGCCGUCACUCAACGGAUAAAAGUUACUCUAAGGAUAACAGGCUGAUCUCCCCCAAGAGUUCACAUCGACGGGGAGGUUUGGCACCUCGAUGUCGGCUCAUCGCAUCCUGGGGCGGUAGUACGUCCCAAGGGUUGGGCUGUUCGCCCAUGAAAGCGGUACGCGAGCUGGGUUCAGAACGUCGUGAGACAGUUCGGUCCAUAUCCGGUGUAGGCGUUAGAAUAUUGAGAGGAGCCUUCUCUAGUACGAGAGGACCGAGAAGGACAUACCUCUAGUGUACCAGUUAUCGUGCCAACGGUAAACGCUGGGUAGCUAUGUAUGGAGUGGAUAACCGCUGAAAGCAUCUAAGUGGGAAGCCCACCUCAAGAUAAGUA
Molecule: ribosomal RNA, 1237 nt
Filed under: metagenome
Description: bacterial LSU rRNA
Rfam family: Bacterial large subunit ribosomal RNA
Source: RNAcentral